GGGAAAGCAAAAAAGAGGAGGAAGAAGAAGGUGGAGGAGGAAAAGGAGAAUAAGAAUAAAGAGCUAGCUGAAACCUUAUCUUCCUCGUAGAGGGUCUCCGAAGAAUGGAAGAAAAAGAGAGAAAUGAGCUAUGAGCAAAAUAAAUGUGGAUUAUAGGACAAUAACUUUUCCAACCAAUAAGAAAAGGAGAAAACUGGAAACUUGGAGAAAAAUUACAGAAAAAGCUGGAAAAUCGAUUGGGUCGAAGUGAUUUGGCCAAAUCACUUGCAGAAAGCUGAAGCAGAAAACUGGGACUGACUUGCAGAGACGAUCUGGGCAAGUGAUUUGGGCAAAUCAACUGCCCAAAUCAAACUGAUGCAGAAAAGUCCAGCAGCGCGAGAAAAAGGAAAUUCAGAAUUUAAAAAGUAUUGGAGUCCUAUCCUACUUCAAACACCAUAAGACCAAUCUUAUGACAACUCCAAGAGUCACUUCAAAGGAAGACUUUCUCUAAAAGAAGAUUUAUUCAUGAUUAAAUACAAAGGCAAUGAAGGAAUAAAAGACUACAAAAGACCAAGUCAAAUUAAGAUUUCAAAUCCUAAUUAGAUUAGGACUCCUCACCUAUAAAGAGGGACAGCAUCCAACCAGCAAAAAAUCAUCAAAUUUUAUCCAGAUUUUCGGCAGUAAUCUCCCUCUACUUUUCUUCUUUCUUUUUGUGUUCUUUGUCCACCAUGAGUGGCUAAACAUCUAUUUAUCUAGUUGAAGUUCGAGAAUUUUCAGUUUGUGAUGAAUUGGGAGAUUUAAAACUCCAUUGUUAAGCUUCUAUUUUUCAAUAUUUAUGCAACUUGUUCUUUAUGCUA
Molecule: long non-coding RNA, 836 nt
Organism: Manihot esculenta (cassava)
Lineage: Eukaryota; Viridiplantae; Streptophyta; Magnoliopsida; Malpighiales; Euphorbiaceae
Exons: 2
Source: RefSeq, a predicted model, not a curated record